ACUUAUCACCAUUCCAGAUAGAAUAUACCCGAUCUCGUCUGAUCUCGGAAGUCAAGCAAUCUCGGGCUUGGUUAGUACUUGGAUGGGUGACCGCUUGGGAAUACCAAGUGUGAUAAGCA
Non-coding RNA from Ciona savignyi (Pacific transparent sea squirt), 119 nucleotides. The record is from Rfam. Lineage: Eukaryota; Metazoa; Chordata; Ascidiacea; Phlebobranchia; Cionidae.